UUAAGUUCAGCGGGUAUCCCUACCUGAUCCGAGGUCAACCAUAGAAGGGGGUGCUGGCAGGCUACCGCCUAGCCCCAGAGCGAGAGCUGUACUACGCUUGGAGCCAGACGCUGCCGCCACUGUCUUUAGGGCCAGCCGUUGCCGGCAGGGCCCAAUACCAAGCAUAGCUUGAGGGUUGUAAUGACGCUCGAACAGGCAUG
This 200-nucleotide unclassified non-coding RNA is filed under the name Oidiodendron sp. Its description in RNAcentral is "partial internal transcribed spacer 2". The record is from RNAcentral. Lineage: Eukaryota; Fungi; Ascomycota; Leotiomycetes; Myxotrichaceae.